GACGAACGCUGGCGGCGUGCUUAACACAUGCAAGUCGAACGGAAAGGCCCUGCUUUUGUGGGGUGCUCGAGUGGCGAACGGGUGAGUAACACGUGAGUAACCUGCCCUUGACUUUGGGAUAACUUCAGGAAACUGGGGCUAAUACCGGAUAGGAGCUCCUGCUGCAUGGUGGGGGUUGGAAAGUUUCGGCGGUUGGGGAUGGACUCGCGGCUUAUCAGCUUGUUGGUGGGGUAGUGGCUUACCAAGGCUUUGACGGGUAGCCGGCCUGAGAGGGUGACCGGCCACAUUGGAACUGAGAUACGGCCCAGACUCCUACGGGAGGCAGCAGUGGGGAAUACUGCACAAUGGGCGGAAGCCUGAUGCAGCAACGCCGCGUGCGGGAUGACGGCCUUCGGGUUGUAAACCGCUUUCGCCUGUGACGAAGCGUGAGUGACGGUAAUGGGUAAAGAAGCACCGGCUAACUACGU
Molecule: ribosomal RNA, 467 nt
Filed under: uncultured bacterium
Lineage: Bacteria
Description: partial 16S ribosomal RNA
Rfam family: Bacterial small subunit ribosomal RNA
Source: RNAcentral